Acanthosepion pharaonis is the source of this 111-nucleotide non-coding RNA. NCBI's taxonomy places the organism in Eukaryota, Metazoa, Mollusca, Cephalopoda, Sepiida, Sepiidae. The record is from the annotation of a GenBank genome assembly.
UAUGACCAUAACACACUGAAACCCCAGUUCCUGUAUGAUCCCCGAAGUUAAGCAACAUCAAGCCUGGUCAGUACUUAUAUCAGUGACUAGUUGGGAAUACCAAGUAUAGUA